UUUGGGUGUGUCUCCCUUCUCGGGAGACUCUCUCAACCCUAAGAACCCUUGACCUCAAAUCGGGUGAGACUACCCGCUGAACUUAAGCAUAUCAAUAAGCGGAGGAAAAGAAACUAACAAGGAUUCCCCUAGUAACUGCGAGUGAAGCGGGAAAAGCUCAAAUUUAAAAUCUGGCGGUCUUUGGC
RNAcentral lists this ribosomal RNA (185 nucleotides) under Lactarius akahatsu. RNAcentral's name for it is "partial 28S ribosomal RNA". The stretch from base 50 to 185 matches the Rfam family "Eukaryotic large subunit ribosomal RNA", at positions 1 to 135 of the family's 3401-position model. Lineage: Eukaryota; Fungi; Basidiomycota; Agaricomycetes; Russulales; Russulaceae. The record is from RNAcentral.